RNAcentral lists this microRNA precursor (107 nucleotides) under Prunus persica (peach). RNAcentral's name for it is "MIR6274 microRNA precursor family". It matches the Rfam family "MIR6274 microRNA precursor family". The record is from Rfam by way of RNAcentral. Lineage: Eukaryota; Viridiplantae; Streptophyta; Magnoliopsida; Rosales; Rosaceae.
GGAUAGCAUUGUUUUGCUAUCCUCUGCCAAUAACACAAUGACACGUGAAAAAGUUAUCCUACAUGUCACUGCGUUAUUGGUUGAGGAUAGCAAAAAGUGAUAUACCC